RNAcentral lists this ribosomal RNA (433 nucleotides) under uncultured bacterium. RNAcentral's name for it is "partial 16S ribosomal RNA". It matches the Rfam family "Bacterial small subunit ribosomal RNA", at positions 29 to 507 of the family's 1533-position model. The record is from RNAcentral.
AACGAACGCUGGCGGCAUGCCUAACACAUGCAAGUCGAACGAGACCUUCGGGUCUAUUGGCGCACGGGUUCGUAACGCGUGGGAACCUGCCCUUAGGUUCGGAAUAACUCCCCGAAAGGGGUGCUAAUACCGGAUAAUGUCUUCGGACCAAAGAUUUAUCGCCUUUGGAUGGGCCCGCGUUGGAUUAGCUAGUUGGUAGGGUAAAAGCCUACCAAGGCGACGAUCCAUAGCUGGUAUGAGAGGAUGAUCAGCCACACUGGGACUGAGACACGGCCGAGACUCCUACGGGAGGCAGCAGUGGGGAAUAUUGGACAAUGGGCGAAAGGAUGAUCCAGCAAUGCCGCGUGAGUGAUGAAGGCAGUAGGGUUGUAAAGCUCUUUUACCCGGGAUGAUAAUGACAGUACCGGGAGAAUAAGCUCCGGCUAACUCCGUG